Long non-coding RNA from Papaver somniferum (opium poppy), 1590 nucleotides. RefSeq lists it as uncharacterized. The transcript has 2 exons. Lineage: Eukaryota; Viridiplantae; Streptophyta; Magnoliopsida; Ranunculales; Papaveraceae. The record is from RefSeq and is a predicted model, not a curated record.
AUUUUGCAGCAGCAGCAGCGAAAAUGAGCAUUUCAUGUGGUACACAAAGAGAAGAAUCAACAUCUCUGAUGUUAAAUCUUCCUGAAGGGGUUCAUGAUGAGAUCUUUAUGAAGCUACCAGCAAAAUCCAUCUUCGUAUCAAGGUGUGUCUGUAAGCUUUUCUAUAAUCUACUUUCCAAUCCUAGAUUUAUCAAAAAUCAUGUUAAUCGAAGUAUUCUGAGCAAGAACAGCAGCCCUAAACUCUUAUUUAGUCAAUCCUCGAGGGUUAAGCGCCCUCUGAUUCACUCUAUACCUAUAGAUUAUCCUUCGAUUUCACCAUCAGAUGGAGGUGUUCUGAUAAAUUACCCAUUUGAAUCUACCAGAAUUUUUGGGUUCAUGUAAUGGCUUGAUUUUCUUAAGAAUAUUUAGUAUUGAUAGAUCUAAUUAUCUAAAGAAAUUUAUUUCAGAGACUAAAUUCUGUAUUCUGAACCCAUUGACAAGAGAAUUUAAGGAAUUUGAAAAGCCUGAGGAAUCUAAAAAUCCUGAAAAGUGUUAUGGCGGUGUUACCUAUGGAUUUGGUUAUGAUGGCAAUGUAGAUGAUUACAAACUAGUGAUGACAAAUUAUGUAGGACACCGUGUCUACAAAAUUGAUGUUUAUACAGUGAAAUUAGAUUCAUGGAGUAGUAUUCAGGGUAUGGGUAAAUUCUCAUUUCACUGUGGUAAAGGAUAUUCUGGUGUGUUUUUCAAUGGGUGUCUUCAUUUGUUGGCAAGUACGGACACUCGCGGAAUCUGGUCUGAAGUUAUCUUCUCUUUUGAUAUUUGCAAUGAGGUAGUGGUGAGUAUGCCAUUACCUGAAAAUGUUAUGCCACCUACAGAUUAUUCCGGAGAAGUUUUUUAAAAUGUGGGAGUGUGGGGGGACUGCAUUGGUAUAGCUUAUAUCUGGAAUUCAGUUAGGAUUGAUGUGUGGGUGAUGCGGGAGUAUGGAGUGAAGGAAUCUUGGGUCAGAAAAUAUACCACAACUCAACUGCCGCUUCCCUUGCCCUUGCAAGAAAUUCCAUUUUGGAAGCCUCUGUGGUGCUUUAACAAUGGUGAAAUUCUAGUAGAUACUGGCAGGCAAAUACUUUUAUAUGAACCAAAAACUGAAAGAGUUACAUCGGUGGUGGUCCGUGAUUUUGCUACGGACAAUAGUCUACAGAUCUAUGUGGAGAGCAUAGUCAUAGUCUCACUUGGCUCUGGUACUUAUCUGGAGAAACCGAUUACAGAUGAGAUCGUGAAGUAUCCCGAGUGACAACAAUUGAGGUCUCAUUCAGCACAAUGGUUUUAUACUCCCAACGCUAGAAAGACCAGCACUUAUGACUGAAAACCAGAAUGGGUGGGAGCUUUGGCCCAAGCUCAUUGUUUGCAUCUGUUUGUAAUCCAUUUCCAUCCUAUGUGUUUGCAAUACUUAAACUAGCAUCACCACAUGCCAGUGUAACUCAAGGUUACGAUAAGCUCUAUCCUUCCACACUGCCUAAAUUGCUUUGUCAACGGCCAGAAACAAACAAGUGCAUGGUUGUGUAAUUGGUAUUCAUAUUAGUGCAGGCAGUAACAUGGAAUCAGCAGUUCUAACUUU